CUACCCAUGUCCAGGAUGAAGGUAAGGUAAUACUUACUGGAGGUCCGAACCCACGCACGUUGAAAAGUGCGGGGAUGAGGUGUGGGUAGCGGAGAAAUUCCAAUCGAACUUGGAGAUAGCUGGUUCUCUCCGAAAUAGCUUUAGGGCUAGCCUCGAGGUAAAGAGUCAUGGAGGUAGAGCACUGUUUGGACUAGGGGCCCUUCUCGGGUUACCGAAUUCAGAUAAACUCCGAAUGCCAUGUACUUAUACUCGGGAGUCAGACUGCGAGUGAUAAGAUCCGUAGUCGAAAGGGAAACAGCCCAGACCACCAGUUAAGGUCCCCAAAUAUAUGUUAAGUGGAAAAGGAUGUGGGGUUGCUUAGACAACCAGGAUGUUGGCUUAGAAGCAGCCACCAUUGAAAGAGUGCGUAAUAGCUCACUGGUCGAGUGACCCCGCGCCGAAAAUGUACCGGGGCUAAACAUAUUACCGAAACUGUGGAUGAACCUCUUUAGAGGUUCGUGGUAGGAGAGCGUUCUAAGGGCGGUGAAGUCAGACCGGAAGGACUGGUGGAGCGCUUAGAAGUGAGAAUGCCGGUAUGAGUAGCGAAAGAAGGGUGAGAAUCCCUUCCACCGAAUAUCUAAGGUUUCCUGAGGAAGGCUCGUCCGCUCAGGGUUAGUCGGGACCUAAGCCGAGGCCGAUAGGCGUAGGCGAUGGACAACAGGUAGAGAUUCCUGUACCAGUGCUAAUUGUUUAACCGAUGGGGUGACACAGAAGGAUAGGGAAUCGCACGAAUGGAAAUGUGCGUCCAAGCAGUGAGUGUGAGAAGUAGGCAAAUCCGCUUCUCGCGAAGCAUGAGCUGUGAUGGGGAAGGAAAUUAAGUACGGAAGUUCCUGAUUUCACGCUGUCAAGAAAAGCCUCUAGGAAGAGUAGUACUGCCCGUACCGCAAACCGACACAGGUAGAUGAGGAGAGAAUCCUAAGGUGAGCGAGAGAACUCUCGUUAAGGAACUCGGCAAAAUGACCCCGUAACUUCGGGAGAAGGGGUGCUCUAUUAGGGUGCAAGCCCGAGAGAGCCGCAGUGAAUAGGCCCAGGCGACUGUUUAGCAAAAACACAGGUCUCUGCAAAACCGUAAGGUGACGUAUAGGGGCUGACGCCUGCCCGGUGCUGGAAGGUUAAGAGGAGUGCUUAGCUUCGGCGAAGGUACGAAUUGAAGCCCCAGUAAACGGCGGCCGUAACUAUAACGGUCCUAAGGUAGCGAAAUUCCUUGUCGGGUAAGUUCCGACCCGCACGAAAGGCGCAACGAUCUGGGCACUGUCUCAACGAGAGACUCGGUGAAAUUAUAGUACCUGUGAAGAUGCAGGUUACCCGCGACAGGACGGAAAGACCCCGUGGAGCUUUACUGCAACCUGAUAUGGAAUGUUUGUACCGCUUGUACAGGAUAGGUAGGAGCCGAAGAGACGUGUGCGCUAGCAUACGAGGAGGCAAUGGUGGGAUACUACCCUGGCUGUAUGACCAUUCUAACCCGCCACGCUUAGCGCGUGGGGAGACAGUGUCAGGUGGGCAGUUUGACUGGGGCGGUCGCCUCCUAAAGAGUAACGGAGGCGCCCAAAGGUUCCCUCAGAAUGGAUGGAAAUCAUUCGCAGAGUGUAAAGGCACAAGGGAGCUUGACUGCGAGACUGACAAGUCGAGCAGGGACGAAAGUCGGGCUUAGUGAUCCGGUGGUUCCGCAUGGAAGGGCCAUCGCUCAACGGAUAAAAGCUACCCCGGGGAUAACAGGCUUAUCUCCCCCAAGAGUCCACAUCGACGGGGAGGUUUGGCACCUCGAUGUCGGCUCGUCGCAUCCUGGGGCUGUAGUCGGUCCCAAGGGUUGGGCUGUUCGCCCAUUAAAGCGGCACGCGAGCUGGGUUCAGAACGUCGUGAGACAGUUCGGUCCCUAUCCGUCGCGGGCGCAGGAAAUUUGAGAGGAGCUGUCCUUAGUACGAGAGGACCGGGAUGGACACACCGCUGGUGUACCAGUUGUUCCGCCAGGAGCAUCGCUGGGUAGCUAUGUGUGGCAGGGAUAAACGCUGAAAGCAUCUAAGCGUGAAGCCCCCCUCAAGAUGAGAUUUCCCAUUUCUUCGGAAAGUAAGAUCCCUGAAAGAUGAUCAGGUAGAUAGGUUUGGAGUGGAAGUGUAGCGAUACAUGGAGCGGACAAAUACUAAUCGAUCGAGGACUUAACCAAAA
RNAcentral lists this ribosomal RNA (2202 nucleotides) under Listeria monocytogenes. RNAcentral describes it as "partial 23S ribosomal RNA". It matches the Rfam family "Bacterial large subunit ribosomal RNA", at positions 730 to 2925 of the family's 2925-position model. Lineage: Bacteria; Bacillati; Bacillota; Bacilli; Caryophanales; Listeriaceae. The record is from RNAcentral.